AAAAGAUUCUCAUCAUUAGUCAUUAGGGAAAUGGAAAUUAAAAACCUCAAAAAAUAGGUAUGUGAAAUUAAGAGUUACAGUACUACGGUGUUAGGGAGAAUACCAAGAGAAAGGAAAGGAAAUGAUGCAAAACUUGUUACACAGAUGUUUAUGGGCUUUCUUAUGUAAUUUAAAAGUAAACUUGGUUGUAGUUUUGUGAUUUGUGUAAUUUAUUAAAUAGUAUAAAUUUUUUUGUUUUGCCUUUAUGAACUUCUUUCGUGUAACCAAAGAUACUUAGUUAAAAUAAUUAAGAAUUAUUAAAACAAUUUUUGGUAGAAGUUAUGCAUAGGACCACUAAAUUUUUAAAAGUAAUUAAGAAAUAGGAUAUUUAAUUAUUUUAAUGACUUUUAAAUUAUAGGUACAGCCAUAGUGCUGAAGUUCAAGUUCGUCUUCAAUUCUUGACUUGUGUAUUUUCAACUCUGGGAUCACCUGAUCAUUUCAGUAAGUUUUUUAAUCAGUACUUUUAAAAAAUCUGUUUUGACUAUUGGAAGAACUAAAUUUACUCUCGCUUCUGAUUUCUGCAGUUUUUUUUUUUUUUU
RNAcentral lists this long non-coding RNA (578 nucleotides) under Pan troglodytes (chimpanzee). RNAcentral's name for it is "long non-coding RNA NONPTRT010493". Lineage: Eukaryota; Metazoa; Chordata; Mammalia; Primates; Hominidae. The record is from RNAcentral.